Molecule: transfer RNA, 99 nt
Filed under: Roseibium album
Lineage: Bacteria; Pseudomonadati; Pseudomonadota; Alphaproteobacteria; Hyphomicrobiales; Stappiaceae
Description: Labrenzia alba tRNA-Ser
Source: RNAcentral
GGUCGUGAUCAUCAAACCGGCGUAAAGCACACCCUUGAACGGUGUGCCGCGCUUGGCGAGCGUGGCGAUUGUCGGUUCGAUAACCCGGUUCAUGACUUC